This 57-nucleotide transfer RNA is filed under the name Bombus ignitus. RNAcentral describes it as "tRNA-Ser". The record is from RNAcentral. Lineage: Eukaryota; Metazoa; Arthropoda; Insecta; Hymenoptera; Apidae.
GAAAUAAAUUAAUAAAGCUUCUAACUUUAAUUUAGAUACUUAACUAUCAUUAUUUCU